Molecule: long non-coding RNA, 212 nt
Filed under: Elaeis guineensis (African oil palm)
Lineage: Eukaryota; Viridiplantae; Streptophyta; Magnoliopsida; Arecales; Arecaceae
Description: long non-coding RNA (EGUI_LNC004918)
Source: RNAcentral
UAGCCUCACGGUCGACCAACAACUUUAGCUGGUCCACCAGCGUCGCCUUCUCCACUUCGACGGUUUCGGCCCGAUUCUUCCAGGCCGUCCGGACGUCGCCGAACCUCCGGUACCCGGCCUCCAGCUCGGACAUGGUGUAGAUUAGCUGCAAAUAGAAGGCCGAUCGUCAGAAAAAUGAAGUGAUAAAAAUAACAAUGAAGGGGAAAGGAAAA